AUACGUAGGGGGCGAGCGUUGUCCGGAAUGAUUGGGCGUAAAGGGCGCGUAGGCGGCCCGGUAAGUCUGGAGUGAAAGUCCUGUUUUUAAGAUGGGAAUUGCUUUGGAUACUGUCGGGCUUGAGUGCAGGAGAGGUAAGUGGAAUUCCCAGUGUAGCGGUGAAAUGCGUAGAGAUUGGGAGGAACACUAGUGGCGUAGGCGACUUACUGCACUGUAACUGACGCUGAAGCGCGAAAUUGUAUGGUGCAAACAGGAUUUGAUGCCCUGGUAGUCCACACUGUACACGGUGAAUGCUAGGUGUAGGUGGUAUCGACCCCUCUUGUGCCGCAGUCAACACAAUAAGUAUUCCGCCUUGGGAGUUCGGCCGUAAGGUUGAUACUCACAUGAAUUAACGUGG
Molecule: ribosomal RNA, 397 nt
Filed under: uncultured bacterium
Lineage: Bacteria
Description: partial 16S ribosomal RNA
Rfam family: Bacterial small subunit ribosomal RNA
Source: RNAcentral